Phrynosoma platyrhinos (Desert horned lizard) is the source of this 70-nucleotide non-coding RNA. Lineage: Eukaryota; Metazoa; Chordata; Lepidosauria; Squamata; Phrynosomatidae. The record is from the annotation of a GenBank genome assembly.
GCCAAGGUGGCAUAGUGGUUUGAGCGUUGGCCUACAGCUCUGGAGAUCAUGGUUCCAUUCCCUCUUGGCC